CACGGGGGGAGCAAGCGUUGUUCGGAAUCACUGGGCGUAAAGGGCGUGUAGGCGGUUAGGUAAGUGGGAUGUGAAAGCCCCCGGCUCACCCGGGGAUCUGCAUUCCAAACUGCCUGACUUGAGUAUGGGAGAGGAUAGGGGAAUUCCUGGUGUAGCGGUGAAAUGCGUAGAUAUCUGGAGGAACACCGGUGGCGAAGGCGGCAUCCUGGACCGGCAUUGACGCUGAGGCGCGAAAGCCAGGGGAGCAAACGGG
RNAcentral lists this ribosomal RNA (253 nucleotides) under uncultured bacterium. Its description in RNAcentral is "partial 16S ribosomal RNA". It matches the Rfam family "Bacterial small subunit ribosomal RNA", at positions 524 to 776 of the family's 1533-position model. The record is from RNAcentral.